GAAAUUUAACGGAUUUGGCGGCAAGAUAGCCCCUUAGAGGAACCUGCCCUGUAAACGAUGAACCACGAGGGACUCUACUUUCUUUGGUAGUCAGUUUGUAUAUCGCUGUUGUCAGUUAGAUUCUUGAGAAUAUUUUCGUUUAUGAAAAGUUCAUUGACUUCAAGUAAAGGUGCAGCUUAUAAGGAAGAUAGAGGUGGGUUACACUUAUGAGAAUAAAACGGAAAGGAUGGAUGAAACAAUCCUUGAAGGUGGAUUUAACUGUAAAACUUAAGUAGGUUUGGUGAGAGCUCUAUCUUGUGUACACACCGCCCGUC
This 314-nucleotide ribosomal RNA is filed under the name Tetraclita serrata. RNAcentral describes it as "partial 12S ribosomal RNA". It matches the Rfam family "Microsporidia small subunit ribosomal RNA", at positions 773 to 1200 of the family's 1311-position model. Lineage: Eukaryota; Metazoa; Arthropoda; Thecostraca; Balanomorpha; Tetraclitidae. The record is from RNAcentral.